CAAACAAUUACGGCUUCAAUUGCUUAUUCAUCAGAGAAUGUGAAGGUACCUGAUGGUGCAGAGACACCGCUUCUCUUGUAUGCCCAGCAGUGUAAAACCACCGUCUGUUGUGAAAAUGAKAUAUGAGAAUAAUUGUGGUCCUUUGGACUUUCAUACGAGACCACUUGAACUGCGCAAAGACAUGAGGAAAAAGGAAGAUCUCUGAUCUUUAUUUUACUGGAAGAGCUGUCGAAAGUUGGUGCUCUGAGUUUUUUUCUCCAUUGAAAACAAUCCAACAAACCAAAUCAACCAACCAACCUYCCUCUUCAGUUGACUAACAGCAGUUUGGGUCGACUGUGCGGCAGUCACAGCUUCCAGAUGGCAGCAGUAGAAAUUCUUCAGUGUGGAACUAGCAGUAUUUUCCACAUAUCUUCCUUCCUUUCCCCCUUUUCCUGUAUAAUAGUCUACUUUUCCUUCAUGUUGAAACUGCAAGGUAAUCAGCAAUUUGCAUUUCUCGUACGGUACGAAGCGACACACUCGGAGCUAAUCGUGAUCACCCAGGCAAGUGUCACUGUGAGCAGACGAACAAAAACAUCUGCUCAGCGUACAGGAGUAGGUAAUCAAAAMGGCAACAAAGAUGUUAACCUCUCUACAGCAAGGGAGGAAAACAUAAUCAMAAAUGCCAGAGYGCCUCUUGCUAUGCAAGCGGUGUGYCACGCUCCAGGCACCACGUGGGAUGUUCUCAUUCUACCUAGAAAAAUGGGAAAAAAAAAUGCAAUAGUUUCAGAUAUUGAGUGGGGGUUGCUGGGC
This is a long non-coding RNA of Nothoprocta perdicaria, 789 nucleotides long. RefSeq lists it as uncharacterized. The transcript has 3 exons. NCBI's taxonomy places the organism in Eukaryota, Metazoa, Chordata, Aves, Tinamiformes, Tinamidae. The record is from RefSeq and is a predicted model, not a curated record.